UAUUUCCAGUCUUGGUUACCCAGAGUUUCCAAGUGAACAAAAGACCUGUGUGAGCCAUCCAUAGCAUAGCCUGAUUCUCAGAGUGUUUUCCUUCUCUAAUUACAGGUGACUUCAGGGAGCACAUUCAAUGGUACGUAUUCUGGAAUCACUCACUGGUUGUUAGAAAAGGAUUCUACAGGAAAUCUGGAGCUUAACUGCUGGCUUUUGUCUGGAGAGCCUCCAUGAUCCAAGACAUCUGGUGGGAAUGAGGAUGUAGGGUAUAGUAAAAGAAACUGGUUUUCCUGGUGACAUACUCUUUUUAUCUAUGUAUAGUUUCUGGGAACAUGUUCACAUUAGGUUGUGUGUGGGUAUGUGUGUAUUAGGGCGGGGGUGGGGUGAGGUGGUCUGUGUGCAAGUCUGCAUGAUUUGCUUGUGAAUGUGUGUCUAUGUGUGUUUCCCCUAGGAAAAAAAUGUUGUGUUUACCCAGCACAACUCUCAGUGCCAUGUUUCUUAAUUUAACAAAUCAGACCACAUACUUUACUUACAUUAGUUCACACCUCAUCAUCAUCAUGCCCAUAUGUUGUGAGCUUGUUUAUUGAGCCCACAUGCCAGAUGGAGAAACUAAGCCACAUAAAUAAAUGUGCCCUGGUUCACUUGCUGCAUAGUGAAGAGUCAAAAUGUUUCCUCAUACGGUGCUAAUGUUGAAGGCCUGAACUACAACCACUAUUUAUCAGCCAGUGAAGAGAUCACUAUUCACCAUGCAAGGGAGUUCCAGCACCCUCUAUGCCUGGAAUUACCCACGCCUGCAGAGAUCCCAAACGCCAUCCCUCACAUAAGACAGCCUCAUGAUCUCAUAAUCCAGGUAGCUAUGUAGACAUCUUCCUGCAGGUGUCACAUAGUCCUUAGUGUGAAACCAACAUAGAAAGCCCAUGUUUCUGAUCAAAUCACAGGUUCUGAAACACUAAGGGAGGCACUAAGUAGGACAAUGUGGUGCCUGCGUGUCAUAGCUGGGUCUCCUCAAGACAUGGAUCAAGUCCAGUAAGAAUUGGGGAGAUGCUUUAGAGUCUUGAUGGAGUUAUCACCACAAGCCCUCUGAGCUACACACUUUAGGGAUCAUGACCAUUAAGUACUCAAAUUACCAUUUGGUUGUUAUCCGGGUAUCCGUCGUCCUUGUGGCAACCCUCUUGUGAAGCUGGUGUGGACAGCCUCAGUGCUGGAGCUGUGCCUGCCUUCUGAGUGGACCCUUUCUGUGUUAGCAGAGAAUAUAAGAAGAUAUGCUGUGCACACCAACCAGUGUAGGAGACCUCAUGGCUCCCGGGUAAAGAAGAAGAGGUACCCACAAGAAGAUGACUUCCAUCAUACAGUCUUCAGCAAUCUUGAAAGAUU
Molecule: long non-coding RNA, 1365 nt
Filed under: Homo sapiens (human)
Lineage: Eukaryota; Metazoa; Chordata; Mammalia; Primates; Hominidae
Description: HSALNT0404904
Source: RNAcentral